RNAcentral lists this ribosomal RNA (235 nucleotides) under uncultured bacterium. RNAcentral describes it as "partial 16S ribosomal RNA". It matches the Rfam family "Bacterial small subunit ribosomal RNA", at positions 99 to 334 of the family's 1533-position model. The record is from RNAcentral.
CGGACGGGUGAGUAACGCGUGGGUAACCUGCCUCAUACAGGGGGAUAGCAGCUGGAAACGGCUGGUAAUACCGCAUAAGCGCACAGUGCCACAUGGUACAGUGUGAAAAACUCCGGUGGUAUAAGAUGGACCCGCGUUGGAUUAGCUAGUUGGUGGGGUAACGGCCCACCAAGGCGACGAUCCAUAGCCGGCCUGAGAGGGUGAACGGCCACAUUGGGACUGAGACACGGCCCAG